UUGGACUCAACGCCGGAAAACUCACCGGGGGCGACAGCAAUUAUGUAGGUCAGGUUAAAGGUCUUACCUGAAUCGCUGAGAGGAGGUGCAUGGCCGUCGUCAGUUCGUACUGUGAAGCAUCCUGUUAAGUCAGGCAACGAGCAAGACCCGUGCCCACUGUUACCAGCAUAUCCUUUAUGGAUGAUGGGGACUCUGUGGGGACCGCUGCUGCUAAAGCAGAGGAAGGUGCGGGCUACGGUAGGUCAGUAUGCCCCGAAUCUCCCGGGCUACACGCGGGCUACAAUGGUUGGGACAAUGGGUAUCUACUCCGAAAGGAGUUGGCAAUCUCUUAACCCAAUCGUAGUUCGAAUUGAGGGCUGUACUCGCCCUCAUGAAGCUGGAAUCCGUAGUAAUCGCGUUUCAACAUAGCGCGGUGA
This 416-nucleotide ribosomal RNA is filed under the name uncultured archaeon. RNAcentral's name for it is "bacterial SSU rRNA". It matches the Rfam family "Archaeal small subunit ribosomal RNA", at positions 906 to 1321 of the family's 1478-position model. The record is from RNAcentral.